UGGACCCUAAUAAGUCCCUUAAG
This 23-nucleotide transfer RNA is filed under the name Pristimantis wiensi (Wiens' robber frog). RNAcentral describes it as "partial tRNA-Phe". The record is from RNAcentral. Lineage: Eukaryota; Metazoa; Chordata; Amphibia; Anura; Strabomantidae.